CAGAAACCUCCAGGAGGGCAAGCAGGGCCCAGUUUCAACCCUGAUUAGUGGACCCGAGCCAGGCAGUAACCUCCUGGAACCCCCAACUAGUAACAAUCACAAGACAAGAAGCAGAACAUUGACAGGACAGAGGAAGAGUGGCUACAUCCAGGAUGGAGUGAUUUUCUUUUUUUCACAGACCAGCCGGGAAGCCACAGGAAACCUGGAGACCACCUUAAAAUCUCUCAGUAGGGGCAGAUCAGCGAUCAGCUUGUUUUAAUCCAAAAAAGAAAAAAAACAAACAAACAAGUAGAGACAUCUUGGACAUUCACCAGAGUUUUUAAAAGACAUUUUUACGGGUAAAAAUUAGGAAACUGCUAUGGGAAAUAUUACACUCUGUGACCCUGUACCCGAAAAGCCUCCAGGUGUGGCACUUCACAGAGAAGAGGUCUCACCUGUCCAGCAGAUACCUAGACGGGUCUGAGAGGAGAGACCAAGAGCUCAGAAAGGAAACCAGACAGACGGAUCCUCUCAGAUGUGGGCAAGAAAUCUCACAGUUUCACUGCUUUACAGACGCGGCUCGGCGGUGCUGGCAAGAUUGUUCAGCAUUGAGACACUGGGCAAAGAGACAGAAAACAAAAGAAACAGGCACUUCUCUGCCCAGAGCAGGGGUGGGGAAAACCAGGCCCCCGAGGAAGCAGCACAGACAACAACCCUGAAAACAACCCAAAUGCUCCCUGCUGGCAGGCCACAUGAUGAAGCGUGGGACAGCGCCACCUUGGAACACUGCAAGCAGGGGACAGAAGGAGGGACCUGCAGCACACGCAGCACUCCGGUGAGUCUCAGAAGAGCGACUGGCACCCAGCUCCACGUACACAAAGGGCAGAGUCGGCCAAACCAGCCACCCGCUGUUCAAGGAGGCAGACAAGUGCAGGGAGGCAACAAAGAAAAACCAGGAAUGGUCAGGCCACAGUGCAGA
Molecule: long non-coding RNA, 958 nt
Filed under: Equus caballus (horse)
Lineage: Eukaryota; Metazoa; Chordata; Mammalia; Perissodactyla; Equidae
Description: lncRNA (ENSECAG00000051255.1)
Source: RNAcentral